Molecule: ribosomal RNA, 511 nt
Filed under: Rhantus atricolor
Lineage: Eukaryota; Metazoa; Arthropoda; Insecta; Coleoptera; Dytiscidae
Description: partial 16S ribosomal RNA
Rfam family: Bacterial large subunit ribosomal RNA
Source: RNAcentral
GUCCUUUUGAAGUUUAUCUAAGGUCUGGCCUGCCCACUGAUUUUUGAAGGGCCGCAGUAAUUUGACUGUGCAAAGGUAGCAUAAUCAUUAGUUUUUUAAUUAAAAGCUUGUAUGAAGGGUUGGACGAAAUAAAAUCUGUCUCUAUUUAAGUUAUUAUAGAAUUUAAUUUUUAAGUUAAAAAGCUUAAAUUUAUUUAAAAGACGAGAAGACCCUAUAGAUCUUUAUAUAAAUUUUAAUAAUUUUAAUUAAGAAUAUUUUAUUUAUUAUUAUUAUUUAUAUUUUAUUGGGGUAAUAAAAAGAUUUAAUUAAUUCUUUUUUUAUUAAAACAUUAAUUUAUGAUUAACUGAUCCAAUAUUUUUGAUUAAAAGAUUAAGUUACCUUAGGGAUAACAGCGUAAUUUUUUUAGAGAGUUCAUAUCGAUAAAAAAGUUUGCGACCUCGAUGUUGGAUUAAAAAUUAUCUUAGGCGCAGAAGUUUAAGAUUUUGGUCUGUUCGACCAUUAAAUUUUUACA